Molecule: ribosomal RNA, 754 nt
Filed under: uncultured bacterium
Lineage: Bacteria
Description: bacterial SSU rRNA
Rfam family: Bacterial small subunit ribosomal RNA
Source: RNAcentral
AGAGUUUGAUCCUGGCUCAGGAUCAACGCUGGCGGCGUGCCUAACGCAUGUAAGUCGCACGGGUCUCCUUCGGGAGACCAGUGGCGAACGGCUGAGGAACACGUACGAACCGGCCCGCUUGUGGGGAAUAACGCGCCGAAAGGCGUGCUAAUACCGCGUACGCUCGGCCUUCGGGUCGAGGAAAGCCGUAAGGCGCAGGCGGAGGGGCGUGCGGCCCAUCAGGUUGUUGGUGGGGUAAUGGCCUACCAAGCCGGUGACGGGUAGCUGGUCUGUGAGGACGAUCAGCCAGACUGGGACUGCGACACGGCCCAGACACCUACGGGUGGCAGCAGCGAGGAAUCUUCCACAAUGGGCGCAAGCCCGAUGGAGCAACGCCGCGUGGAGGACGACGGCCUUCGGGUUGUAAACUCCUUUCGGGGGGGAUGAUACGGACAGUACCCCCAGAAGCAGCCCCGGCUAACUCUGUGCCAGCAGCCGCGGUAAUACAGAGGGGGCAAGCGUUGUCCGGAAUUACUGGGCGUACAGCGCGCGCAGGCGGGGGGUGACGUGCCGUGUGACAGGCGCCGGCUUAACCGGCGUAGGCCAUGGUAAACGCACCGUCUGGAGGCAGGGAGAGGGAUGUGGAAUGCCCGGUGGAGCGGUGAAAUGCGUAGAGAUCGGGCGGAACACCGCGGCGAAGGCGGCAUCCUGGCCCUGACCUGCGCUGAGGCGCGAGAGCGUGGGGAGCAAACCGGAUUAGAUACCCUAGUAGUCC